Molecule: ribosomal RNA, 254 nt
Filed under: uncultured bacterium
Lineage: Bacteria
Description: partial 16S ribosomal RNA
Rfam family: Bacterial small subunit ribosomal RNA
Source: RNAcentral
CACGUAGGGCGCAAGCGUUGUUCGGAUUUACUGGGCGUAAAGGGCGCGUAGGCGGUCGUGACAAGUCCCUUGUGAAAUCUCCGGGCUUAACUCGGAACGGUCAAGUGAUACUGUCGGACUAGAGUACAGAAGGGGCAACUGGAAUUCUCGGUGUAGCGGUGAAAUGCGUAGAUAUCGAGAGGAACACCUGCGGCGAAGGCGGGUUGCUGGGCUGAUACUGACGCUGAUGCGCGAAAGCCAGGGGAGCGAACGGG